Molecule: non-coding RNA, 2911 nt
Organism: Phoenix dactylifera (date palm)
Lineage: Eukaryota; Viridiplantae; Streptophyta; Magnoliopsida; Arecales; Arecaceae
Source: RefSeq, a predicted model, not a curated record
UCCUUUCUCGCUUCUCUCACUCGGUCGCUCGGUCGGUCCGCUGCUUCUAAGAAAUAUUCCAAAUAUAAGCCGUCGUCUUCAGGUACUCUUUUCCCUUCGCCCUCUGCUCCCCUUCUCCGUUUUACAUUUUCCUGUCGUCACCGAUUCUUCUUUCACGCUAAGUCCUCCUCCACAGAGCUCUAUCUCUUCUCUCCGGUACAGUGCUUCUUCUUUCUCUUCUUUAAUUUUUUCUUGUUUUGCCCUUUUGUUUGUUCGGUCCUUGUCCGUCAUAAAAAAACAAAAGGAAAUCCCAAAAUGGAAACCCUGGAAACCACUGAAACCCUACGCGACGACUCCUCCAAGAAGCCCUCCGAAACCCAAACCCUAGAAGCCCUCGCGGGACUUAGGGUUUCGGAACCAGGGUUUCCGCCGGAGGGAGAACCCCUAGCUCCGGCCCCGGGGGAGGAAGCUAAAACCCUAGGGUCGGGGUUGCCGCCGGAGGCCGGCGAGAGGGAGGAGCGGCACUCCUUCGCCGUCGGUGAUUUCGUGUGGGGGAAGAUCAAGAGCCAUCCAUGGUGGCCGGGCCAGGUGUACGACCCCUCUCGAGCAUCGGAUCACGCCAAGAGGGUCCACCGGAGGGACCGGUCGGUGCUCGUGGCCUACUUCGGGGACGACUCCUUUGCCUGGUGCCACCCGGCGCAACUGCGGCCGUUCGUGCUGGAUUUCCACCAGAUGGUGAAGCAGAGCAGCUCGAGGAGCUUUGUCAGCGCCGUGGAGGACGUCCUGGGGGAGAUCGGGCGGUGCCUCGAGCUCGAGCUCACUUGCCACUGCGUGCCUCGGGAGGCCCGGCCAGCGAGUGCCAGAGGCCAGGUCGGGAAGGCUCCGGUAGUAAAUUUCGCGCCUUUGGAGUUCCAUGAGCAUCUCUGUGACGCGGCAUGUGAUGUUUCGGUGGUUGAUAUGCUGGAAAGCGCGAUGCUAAGGAGUUGGGUCUUGGCCUUUGGUAAGGGGUGGAGCAAUGGUUCGGGCUGGGUACCACCGUCGCCGGGGGAUAAUGGACCUGGUGGACAAGAUCGAUCUUGAUGUCCCACCAGGGGACUUGGCUGACAGCAAGGAGGAGGAGGAGUAUUGGAUCACUGGGAACAGUGUUGUGAAGGGGCCAAAGAUAUCAGCGGAGAAGUUGUUCAGGAACAGGAAGAAGAGAAGCAUGGCAAAGCUCAUCGCCGAGAUGGAUUUGGAUGCUGUUGAGGUUAGUGAUGGUGAGGACGACAAGGUGGAGGAGAAGGUGAAGGAGAAAGUGGAGUCUGGGAAGCGCAAGAAGAAGACUGAGAAUGAGAAGACUGGGUCAGAUAUGGAAAAUAUUGGUGUCAAGGCUGAAGAAGAGGGUGGCUCCGGUAGACGGGAACGGAAGAAGAGCAAGUAUUUGUCGCCUCCCUACACUUAUUUGAGUGGGUAUACAAAGUUUAUGGCCUUACCGAGGAGUGCAGAAUUGAAGACACCGAGGAAAAGUAUCGAUUCCUCUGGGCCUUUGUCACCCAAGUCCCCGACAAUUUUGAAGUGCAACUGUGACACAGUUCAGAAGGAAGAGGAUAGGAUGACUUCUUCAUUCCAGGUUGAUAACACUUCGGUGCAUGAGGUUCUUGCGGAGUUCCUCUGCACGGCAGUUGAUCCGCUUCACCUGAAAUGGAAUCGCUUGGCGAAGACAAUCAGGGGCUUCUUUGCAAUAUAUAGAAGCUCUAUGUACUCUAGUGGCUCUGACUGUGUAUCUUACCAAAAGCAUUUGACUGAAUCUUGUGGCAUGAAUGGAAAAACUCCUAGUAAAUAUAUAGUGGAUAGGCCUGAAGUUGGGAAAUCUGAGGGGAAGAGGAAGCAGAAGAAAGAUGGGGACUAGUGGAGAAACUCCGAUAGUUUUGGGUCCUGAUUCCGCAAAUCACUCUAAACAAGGUAAGGUGGGAAGGAAGAGAAAGGCGAGGAAGGAUGACACGACUGUUGAAGCUCUGGUUAAUUUGGAACCCCCGGAUUGUUGAUGUUCCAGUGGAAGGUAAACUGGCAAGGAGAUGCGCGAAAGGCAAGGAUGGUGCUAAUGGUGAAAGCACGGCGAAUUUGUCUCAGGAUUCAGAAGCAGCUAAAUUGGGGCAGAAGAUGGUCAGGAGCAAGGGAGUUGCUAAUGGAAAAUCUCCAGCGGAAUUGGGUCAUGAGCUUAGCGGUCGCUCUCAUGAAGGUAAGUCUGGGCAGAGAAGGAGAAAAGGCAAAAAUGCACCUGGUACUUUGCAUGUUCUUGAUUUGGAUCGUGACAUUGCUAAUGGUCCGAAUGAAGGUAAAUCCAGGCAGAAGAGGAGGAAGAAGGAUGGAAAUAACUACGGGAAUCCGGCAGCUCUUCAUAUGAAUUUUGCUCCGGGCGUCACACUGCCAUCCAGGGAUGACCUUAUCUCCACUUUUAGCAAGUACGGGGUCUUGAUCGAGACCGAGACAGAGUUGCUACAAGAGACUGGCAGUGCUCGGGUUGUGUUUGUGAAAAGCACCGAUGCAGAAAAGGCCUUUAGCAGUUUAGACAAGACUGGAGUUUUUGGGGCUCCAUAUGCUACUUACUGCCUCCGCUAUCUACCUGCGUGAAAGAAACAGGAUGCUCUGAUGGGUGAAGCCAGAGGCAAGAGAUAACUUAGUUGGUGAGAUGCAGGGCCUCCUCAAGAAGGUUAACAAGAUGCUGAACGGACCUGCUGCUGGUACCCCUUUUUAGCUCCACCAUUUUAUAGAUAUAUGGAUCUAACCUACUUAGCUUUAGAGUCUUUGUUAUCCUUUAUGUUGGUUAUGUCAAUUGGUCAAAGACUACUGCUCUCUUUAGGAUGCCUGCACAUUGGUGCUGUUAACCCGAAUGGGUUGUUGUAUUUUCGUACACUGUUGCAUGGUGGACUACGGAGACUUCAUCUUGCCUUUC